UGGGGAAUAUUGGACAAUGGGCGCAAGCCUGAUCCAGCAAUGCCGCGUGGGUGAAGAAGGUUUUCGGAUUGUAAAGCCCUUUUGGCGGGGACGAUGAUGACGGUACCCGCAGAAUAAGCUCCGGCUAACUUCGUGCCAGCAGCCGCGGUAAUACGAAGGGGGCUAGCGUUGCUCGGAAUGACUGGGCGUAAAGGGCGCGUAGGCGGACUGCACAGUCAGGCGUGAAAUUCCUGGGCUUAACCUGGGGACUGCGUCUGAGACGUGUGAUCUAGAGUGAGGAAGAGGGUCGUGGAAUUUCCAGUGUAGAGGUGAAAUUCGUAGAUAUUGGAAAGAACACCGGUGGCGAAGGCGGCGACCUGGUCCUUUACUGACGCUGAGGCGCGAAAGCGUGGGGAGCAAACAGG
Molecule: ribosomal RNA, 404 nt
Filed under: uncultured Acidiphilium sp.
Lineage: Bacteria; Pseudomonadati; Pseudomonadota; Alphaproteobacteria; Acetobacterales; Acidocellaceae
Description: bacterial SSU rRNA
Rfam family: Bacterial small subunit ribosomal RNA
Source: RNAcentral